UUCAGCCGUCAGUCUGAAGGUCUGGCUACGCGAGACUAGGUUGAGCCUGGUCAGUAUCUGGAUGGGAGACCUCUUGGGAAAACUAGGUUGCUGUUGGAA
Ribosomal RNA from Sinocyclocheilus grahami, 99 nucleotides. Lineage: Eukaryota; Metazoa; Chordata; Actinopteri; Cypriniformes; Cyprinidae. The record is from Ensembl.